This 200-nucleotide unclassified non-coding RNA is filed under the name Agaricales sp. Its description in RNAcentral is "partial internal transcribed spacer 2". The record is from RNAcentral. Lineage: Eukaryota; Fungi; Basidiomycota; Agaricomycetes; Agaricales.
UUAAGUUCAGCGGGUAGUCCUACCUGAUUUGAGGUCAAAUGUCAAGAGUGUUGUCCACAUAAAAUGGGACGGUUAGAUAGCAAAACCCCCAAUAAAAUGUCAACUCUGCAAUUUGGCGUAGAUAAACUAUCACACCAGAGCGAGAAUCAACAGAGGCUCCACUGAUGCAUUUAAGGGGAGCCGACUUCUGAGAAGCCCGC